RNAcentral lists this long non-coding RNA (975 nucleotides) under Linum usitatissimum (flax). Its description in RNAcentral is "long non-coding RNA (LUSI_LNC003269)". Lineage: Eukaryota; Viridiplantae; Streptophyta; Magnoliopsida; Malpighiales; Linaceae. The record is from RNAcentral.
GCCUUUUCACUGAUGGUUCACCAGUUGGGCGGCUCAAAUCUGAUUUAUUGGUCCUCCUAGGCGUCUGUUGAUGUUGGAAUAUCUGUUGUUCCUCUCCAGUUAUUGAGUUGGGGGCCAUUGUAAGAGAUUCAAGUGUUUGUUAUCUUAAUAACGGAUUAGCACCACACACAACCAACCCAGAUAUGCAUACAGAGAAGAACUAAAGCAGCAAAACCAGUCCUCAGUCCCCGAAACUACACCAUAUGAUUCAGAACAUAAUUUAGUAUGUACAGUAUAGAUAACCAAAUUGCAAGCCAAACCAUUAAAAGAGGCUAUAGGUAGCAACCAAAGCAUUGGAGAGAACACAUCAUAAUUCAGGAUCAAAGCAAACUAAGUUAGCCAAAGUGCAAGGCAUAAAGGAAUUGGUUAAAGGACCACAAAUGGGAGAAAGUUAUGUGGAGGUCAGACACAGUGCUAAAGGCAAAGAACCAAACACAACACACCACCAAGAAACCAUGUAAUUUCUGAAAUUCAAAACUCCGUUUCUGUCUCUCGCUUUUCCAAAGUUGAAAUUCGAAGGAGUAAGAAAAAGGAAGUGCUGAUUCUGAAUAUCCCAAAUGCUGUUCAAUUAGACGAGAAAAAAUAAAAAGCAGACCAAGUAAAAACAAAACAAAAAAGGCAGAACCUUGAGCAUGCCUAAGAACAGCUGGUAAAGCAAGCACCCUAAGAAGAACGUACCCAUCACAAACAAUUUCGUCAGAAGCAGAAGACCCAGAAACAAAUUUGGUGAUUGAUGGAUGAAUGAUCAGCAUAGGAAAAAACUGGAGAGAGGGUAAUUAGCAUCAUCUUACCAGGACGAACCAAGCAAGUCCCUUUUGUGAUAAUCUCUUCUGCCCAGUGGUGGCCACCAAUCAAAAGUGAUUCUGCAUUUCUUUCUUCACCACCCCACAACUGUUACUUCCUCUGGCAUUUAUGCUCGCUCUCUCUCUCUCUCUC